RNAcentral lists this transfer RNA (84 nucleotides) under Flavobacteriaceae bacterium. RNAcentral's name for it is "tRNA-Met". The stretch from base 17 to 73 matches the Rfam family "tRNA", at positions 10 to 63 of the family's 71-position model. Rfam says of the family: Transfer RNA (tRNA) molecules are approximately 80 nucleotides in length. Their secondary structure includes four short double-helical elements and three loops (D, anti-codon, and T loops). Lineage: Bacteria; Pseudomonadati; Bacteroidota; Flavobacteriia; Flavobacteriales; Flavobacteriaceae. The record is from RNAcentral.
UGUCUUAGAAUUAAGUGUUUAUGUGGUUAGAGCAUCUGACUCAUAAUCAGAGGGUCACUGGUUCGAGCCCAGUUGGGACCACCC